AGCUAUUUAAUUAAAUUUUGAAUAGCCUGAGCUUUAUAAAUUAUACAGAGACAAAACAAUAUUCAAUUUGAUACAUGCAAAAAAGAAAAAAUAUGACUGGUAUUGCCAAAUUUGUUUAUGUUAAUAUUAUCUUUCUUUCUAUAUUUUUAUUUGCAACAAUCGUUGAAGGUAAACAAUUUCUUUAUCUUUUCCAAAAAAAAAUCAUUUCUUCUUACACAACAUUUUAUCACAUUUUUGUAACCAUGUUUUUCUUUAAUUUUUUUCCAUUACAGGUGAUAUUAGAUGUUUUCAAAAUUCUGAAUGUCCAAUAUUAAUGUGUCCCCCUGGUUUGUUGCCAAGGUGUAUUUAUGGACAUUGUGUAUGUGUUAAAUUGAUGUUAUAGAUUAUAUGAGCAAAAAUCUAAAAGAGUGCAAAAAUGUUACACUAAAAUAUUCUAUGAGCUAUUAUUUAACCAUUAUGUUGACAUUCAACCAUUAUUUUUCUUCUAAUUUCACAUACCUUAUAGUUAUGUUGUUGUACACUAAGACGAUGAUAAUGAAAUAAAUAAGGCGGAAAAUAUAUUCUCUAGAGAAUCAA
RNAcentral lists this long non-coding RNA (576 nucleotides) under Lathyrus oleraceus (garden pea). Its description in RNAcentral is "Pisum sativum (pea) long non-coding RNA (PSAT_LNC000407)". Lineage: Eukaryota; Viridiplantae; Streptophyta; Magnoliopsida; Fabales; Fabaceae. The record is from RNAcentral.